GCCUAUGACCAAGUUACCCGAAUAUUGCCGACCUCAUCAGAUUUUGGAAGCUAAGCAGGUUUGAGCCUGGAUAGUCCUUGGAAGAGUGACCACCAUGCAGAAGGCAGUGUUUACGUU
RNAcentral lists this ribosomal RNA (117 nucleotides) under Petromyzon marinus (sea lamprey). Lineage: Eukaryota; Metazoa; Chordata; Hyperoartia; Petromyzontiformes; Petromyzontidae. The record is from RNAcentral.